This 301-nucleotide ribosomal RNA is filed under the name uncultured bacterium. RNAcentral describes it as "partial 16S ribosomal RNA". It matches the Rfam family "Bacterial small subunit ribosomal RNA", at positions 509 to 807 of the family's 1533-position model. The record is from RNAcentral.
CAGUAGCCGCGGGAAUACGGAGGGGGCUAGCGUUGUUCGGAAUUACUGGGCGUAAAGCGCACGUAGGCGGCUUGGUAAGUUAGAGGUGAAAGCCCGGAGCUCAACUCCGGAAUUGCCUUUAAGACUGCCGAGCUAGCAGGUGAGAGAGGUAAGUGGAAUUCCGAGUGUAGAGGUGAAAUUCGUAGAUAUUCGGAAGAACACCAGUGGCGAAGGCGGCUUACUGGCUCAUACUGGACGCUGAGGUGCGAAAGCGUGGGGAGCAAACAGGAUUAGAUACCCCAGUAGUCCCUGUCUCUUAUAC